RNAcentral lists this ribosomal RNA (449 nucleotides) under uncultured bacterium. RNAcentral's name for it is "partial 16S ribosomal RNA". It matches the Rfam family "Bacterial small subunit ribosomal RNA", at positions 354 to 796 of the family's 1533-position model. The record is from RNAcentral.
GUCGAGAAUCUUUCACAAUGGGGGCAACCCUGAUGGAGCGACGCCGCGUGGAGGAUAAGGUCUUCGGAUUGUAAACUCCUGUCAUGCGUGAACAAGGUUGCAGGGAUAAUACCUCUGCAAAUUGAUAGUAUCGCAAGAGGAAGAGACGGCUAACUCUGUGCCAGCAGCCGCGGUAAUACAGAGGUCUCAAGCGUUGUUCGGAAUCACUGGGCGUAAAGGGUGCGUAGGUGGCGUGGCAAGUCAGAUGUGAAAGCCCGGGGCUCAACCUCGGAACUGCAUCCGAUACUGCCAUGCUGGAGUACUGGAGAGGUGACUAGAAUUCUCGGUGUAGCAGUGAAAUGCGUAGAUAUCGAGAGGAAUACCAAAGGCGUAGGCAGGUCACUGGACAGUUACUGACACUGAGGCACGAAGGCCAGGGGAGCGAACGGGAUUAGAUACCCGUGUAGUCC